Molecule: long non-coding RNA, 400 nt
Organism: Pan troglodytes (chimpanzee)
Lineage: Eukaryota; Metazoa; Chordata; Mammalia; Primates; Hominidae
Exons: 2
Source: RefSeq, a predicted model, not a curated record
AGCCUCCAGCCAGGCACGCUGGGGACAGGUGGGACCUCCUGGAGCUGCCUGGGGGGCCUGGUGAUGCCAGCCUACGGCAGUCAUACUGCCCACACUGCCAAGAGCCCACAUGGGCAAGGGCCAAAGACCUCCAGCCCACCAGCACCACCCCCUACUCCACCCCAACUUCAGGCCGUGCCUCCAUUUUUCCAGCUGUCAAGAAAGCCCUUACCAAGAGGCCCAGGCUCUGUGGGCUCCAGCUCUGCAUUUCCUGGUUCUGGUGUGGAGAGAGAGCAUGAUGAGGAGCAACGAUGUGUCUGCCUGGUUCAUCGCUGAAUCCCCAGGGCCUAGCCCAGCACUUGGCACGUGGUAGGGACUCAACACAUUGCUGCUGAAUGAAUGAAUGUUGGCCCUGCUAGGA